GCCUUCGUGGUGUAGUGGUCAGUACGCUCGACGCGUAACCGAGAGGUCCGUGGUUCAAUUCCCGGCGAAAGCA
This 73-nucleotide transfer RNA is filed under the name Stegodyphus mimosarum. It matches the Rfam family "tRNA". Rfam says of the family: Transfer RNA (tRNA) molecules are approximately 80 nucleotides in length. The record is from Rfam by way of RNAcentral. Lineage: Eukaryota; Metazoa; Arthropoda; Arachnida; Araneae; Eresidae.